AAGCCUUAGGUAUCUUGGGUGCUGUGAGAUGGAGGGAAGAGCUUGGUAUGUGGGAGCACAGGACUUUGACAAGAAUUGUGGAAAGCAAGCAGACAGUAGGCUUUCAGUAACUAUUGAUAGCAAGGAAGGAAGAAGGAAGAGAAGUGUGAGGGAGGGAGGGAGGCGGGCACCUGAAGUGGCCUAAUUCUGAUUGAUGGAAUCUGUCUGCCCCACGCGUCUUCUCCCUCGUUACUCACUGCCUUGAGCUCAGCCACAGCUGUUUGGGGGAAUGCUUAGGAAUGCAGACGUGGGACCAGACUCACCUAUGUUCUAAUAUCAGAGGUAGCUUUUAUCAAGCUUGGCAAAGAACUAAAACAUCUCCACUUUCCCGUUUCCUCCUCUGCACAACAGGGGUCACAGGAGUCCAUCCAGACAUCACAGUGAGGGUCAAAUGAUUUGUCAGGGUCUGUGACAUCAGAGGUGCUCAAAUAAUGACAGCCCAGCAGUCAUGCAUACCUGGCCUCUGCAUCACUGUCUUCCCUGGUCUGCCCUGCUUAGCUUGCUCCCCUAUACACGGCUGCCCUGGGUCCUCAGUCCCAAGGGUAUCUUCUAUGGUCUCUGCCAAUGAAAAAGGCUAGAGCCUUCAACCUCCACCACUUAGCUCCCUAGGUGGGUGACGUCCAGGAGAUUCCCCCAGAUGGUCUUGUCUUCGUCUGAAAAUGGCAUGGAGUUAACUGAGCCAGAAGCUACCUGAGUGAGUGUUUUUCACAGGAGAAGCACUUUGAGGAUGCAGCCUUGUCAACACCAAGCUUGCUGGCUCCCUGAAAGCAAGGGUGAUGGGACCUGACUUCUAGACAGAGCUGAAGAAGAGAUCAGACUGACAGUGCAAGAAAGCUCUGCUACACAUGCCUUAGAUGGCCUCCUGGACUGAAAAGAAUAUGAUAAUGGAAAAGUGCCUCCACCAAAACAGCAUGAAGGGCCAAGGGUUGGGGCAGAACAGAUGGCAUACGGGAGUCUCGGCACCUUCUACCCCUUGCUGGCAGUGACAUCUUGACCUUGGAGAAUUCGUGAUUCUAGAAACACAGACAGACCUGAGCAGUGACAUCAGUUGCCAAGAAUGAUCCGAAGACAGGAAAAACAAAAUGGAAUAAAACUCAGAGCCUAGCACAGGAGAUUUGCUUAACCAAGAGCCCUUUCAAUAACCCAAUUCAGAAAGACAGGGAGAAUUAGGCUGGCGCCGCGGCUCAAUAGGCUAAUCCUCCACCUAGCUGUGCCUGCACCCCGGGUUCUAGUCCCAGUCAGGGCACCGUAUUCUGUCCCGGUUGCCCCUCUUCCAGGCCAGCUCUCUGCUGUGGCCAGGGAGUGCAGUGGAGGAUGGCCCAAGUCCUUGGGCCCUGCACCCCAUGGGAGACCAGGAGAAGCACCUGGCUCCUGCCUUCAGAUCAGUGCGGUGCGCCAGCCGCGGCGGCCAUUGGAGGGUGAACCAACGGCAAAGGAAGACCUUUCUCUCUCUCUCUCUCUCCCUCUCUCUCACUGUCCA
This is a non-coding RNA of Oryctolagus cuniculus (rabbit), 1519 nucleotides long. NCBI's taxonomy places the organism in Eukaryota, Metazoa, Chordata, Mammalia, Lagomorpha, Leporidae. The record is from RefSeq and is a predicted model, not a curated record.